AUCAUUGGAGGAUCUUGUUCAAAUGUAGAUUCUGAUUCAGUAGCUCUGGAUUGGGCCUGAGAUUCUGCAUUUCUAAUAAAUUCUCUGGUGAUGCC
RNAcentral lists this microRNA precursor (95 nucleotides) under Pteropus vampyrus (large flying fox). RNAcentral describes it as "miRNA (ENSPVAG00000029417.1)". Lineage: Eukaryota; Metazoa; Chordata; Mammalia; Chiroptera; Pteropodidae. The record is from RNAcentral.